Molecule: long non-coding RNA, 738 nt
Filed under: Oreochromis niloticus (Nile tilapia)
Lineage: Eukaryota; Metazoa; Chordata; Actinopteri; Cichliformes; Cichlidae
Description: lncRNA (ENSONIG00000031389.1)
Source: RNAcentral
AUGAAUAAAUGGCGAAAACAAUAUAAUUAUAACAUAUAUUUUUAUUUUACUUAUUUUAGGUCUGUGAAGCCAAACUUGAUGCUGGGGAUUUAUUUUUGUCAGUGGAGUCAAAUGGUUGAAGCAGAAUUUGCCCGUCUUACAUCUGUUGACCUGAAAGGGUUCCUUUUUGCUGUGCUUGACCAUUAUGGAGAGGUUCGUGGAGCUGUAGAAAAUCAAGAGCGGCAUAGGAGGGCUAACUAGGCUCAUAAAAUGCUUCGGAGAUGAUGUAAGUGUUCAACUGCGAAAUGUUCUCCUUUGUUUAAGUUUUAGGUUAUCCAGUUCAACUGAUGAACUCAUUGAAAGAAAGCUGAUAAGUAAAGUCUGUCAUCAUAUUUCACAACUGGACAUUUAGUGUGGUAACUUUUACAGAAUCUGUGUAUAUUGGUGGUAGGUUGGAUAUCAUAUUCUACUUGAAUGUCCUGAUAAGCCUGAUUCAAAAUCUCCAAUGAUAAUCAUAUAUUGAUGGAAUUAUGUAUCAAAAAGCUGUGAAUUUGGAGCUGUCUACAUGCUUCAUAAACACUGUUUAAAAAGUGUUUUUGUUUUCUUUUUGACUUCUUUGACCAGAGCCCUACACAAAGGAAGAGGACAGAGGACCUCAUUUUCUAAAGGAAGAUCCCUCACACACUUUCAAGACUGUGAAGGUUAGCAUUGUUUCUUUUAGUAAAUUUAAUAAUGACAGCACCACAGUGGAUUUUAAAU